GCGUUGAUGGUGUAAUGGUUAGCAUUGGUGCCUUCCAAGCACUAGAUCCGAGUUCAAUUCUCGGUCAACGCA
Orchesella cincta is the source of this 72-nucleotide transfer RNA. It matches the Rfam family "tRNA". From Rfam's summary of the family: Transfer RNA (tRNA) molecules are approximately 80 nucleotides in length. Their secondary structure includes four short double-helical elements and three loops (D, anti-codon, and T loops). NCBI's taxonomy places the organism in Eukaryota, Metazoa, Arthropoda, Collembola, Entomobryomorpha, Orchesellidae. The record is from Rfam.